RNAcentral lists this non-coding RNA (28 nucleotides) under Rattus norvegicus (Norway rat). The record is from RNAcentral. Lineage: Eukaryota; Metazoa; Chordata; Mammalia; Rodentia; Muridae.
UCCUUGACCAGGGAAGCCCUUUGCCUGA